Molecule: ribosomal RNA, 344 nt
Filed under: uncultured bacterium
Lineage: Bacteria
Description: bacterial SSU rRNA
Rfam family: Bacterial small subunit ribosomal RNA
Source: RNAcentral
GUGAGUAGUUCAGAGUUUGAUCCUGGCUCAGGACGAACGCUGGCGGCGCGCCUAACACAUGCAAGUCGAACGGAGACAUCUUUAGCUUGCUUUAGAUGUCUUAGUGGCGGACGGGUGAGUAACACGUGAGCAACCUGCCUUUCAGAGGGGGAUAACGUUUGGAAACGAACGCUAAUACCGCAUAACGUAUACGGACGGCAUCGUCUGUAUACCAAAGGAGCAAUCCGCUGAAAGAUGGGCUCGCGUCCGAUUAGCUAGAUGGUGAGGUAACGGCUCACCAUGGCGACGAUCGGUAGCCGGACUGAGAGGUUGAUCGGCCACAUUGGGACUGAGACACGGCCCAG